AUCAAACAUAAAGAGUUGCAUUUGUGUGAAUAUUGACUUACCGAUAGCAAUACUAUUUACUAUAAAGAUAGUAAGCAUCAUGUUCGUUGUUAUCACUAAUUGCUCAAUAAAUGUGCCUUAAUUAAUGCAUCGAAGGUGAAAGUUCAUAGUAUAUUAUACGGCAUAAAUGCAUAUAUCUUUUACGAAAGUCUCCAAAGUCACAACUAUCUGAAUCAGGAAAUACUAUAACUUGUUUACGUUUAAA
RNAcentral lists this long non-coding RNA (244 nucleotides) under Mytilus galloprovincialis (Mediterranean mussel). The record is from RNAcentral. Lineage: Eukaryota; Metazoa; Mollusca; Bivalvia; Mytilida; Mytilidae.